UACGUAGGGUGCGAGCGUUAAUCGGAAUUACUGGGCGUAAAGCGUGCGCAGGCGGCGCGUUAAGACAGGUGUGAAAGCCCCGAGCUUAACUUGGGAAUUGCGCUUGUGACUGGCGUGCUGGAGUGUGGCAGAGGGAGGUGGAAUUCCACGUGUAGCAGUGAAAUGCGUAGAGAUGUGGAGGAACACCGAUGGCGAAGGCAGCCUCCUGGGCCAGCACUGACGCUCAUGCACGAAAGCGUGGGGAGCAAAUAGG
Molecule: ribosomal RNA, 253 nt
Filed under: uncultured bacterium
Lineage: Bacteria
Description: partial 16S ribosomal RNA
Rfam family: Bacterial small subunit ribosomal RNA
Source: RNAcentral